CAGUCGUACCUUCGGGUAAUCAGCCUUUCGAGUGCGAUUCUGUGGAGUGUGAGGAGCUAAACACCUUCAUGCCUGCAUAUUCGUGCACUUUGGGUGUACUUGCCCGUGUGUAAGUUAACAUCAAUUUUGGUGGUCAUAAAAUGACUGGAGGAAUGUAGCUUCGAUCUUGUAUUGAAGUGUUAUAGCCUUCGGUAGAUGUGAUGAUCGGGAUUGGAGGAUUGCAACGGAUACCCUUCGGGGCUACCUGUCUGGUCUCUGAUCGUUGCUCUGGUGCCGAAAGCUUGCUUACGGUCAUUCAUGAUGACGGUCAAAAGGUUAGAACGUGAUUACAUU
RNAcentral lists this ribosomal RNA (333 nucleotides) under Rhizophagus irregularis. Lineage: Eukaryota; Fungi; Glomeromycota; Glomeromycetes; Glomerales; Glomeraceae. The record is from RNAcentral.